Molecule: long non-coding RNA, 652 nt
Organism: Frankliniella occidentalis (western flower thrips)
Lineage: Eukaryota; Metazoa; Arthropoda; Insecta; Thysanoptera; Thripidae
Exons: 2
Source: RefSeq, a predicted model, not a curated record
AUCACAGGAUUGCAUCAUCCACAUAAACAUGGUCUUUAUGUAAUAGCUGGAGAGUCCUUUCCAUUCCAUUGUAUCACGUAAUUUCUGGUAAUAAAUCAAACAUGUGUAAAUGUACGAAUUGUUUAUUGUUAAGUAGGAAUAUUUCUAGACUUGUGCGCCACUCUUCAUCAGAGGAAUUUUUUGAUCCUUUAGGAAUAGCAUACCACUUUCGUUCUACUCCACCCUUAGAUGGGUGUUUCUAAUAAAAAGAAUGUGUUAUUGGUACACACAAGGAAAAGCAAAGAGUUAUUGGACUGCCUUCCUUACUGAGCUAUACUUACAUUAACUGUAGCUCGUAUUUUUUCAGGGAGAAGUUUGAGAGAAAAUUCAAGUGCUGGGACAAGAUCUACUGACAAUGUUUUACCAUUGUUCAUAGUAACAUUGAUAGUAAUUGCAGGCCCUGACCACGAACGUGCAACUCUCUGAUGUAUGUAAAAUUAGAAGUAUUAUUGAAAGUCAUGGUUAUAGCAUUUAAAAAUUUGUAGUUGAGUGAACAUGUAUUUACCCUCAAAUUUUCCCAUUGCUUGUUCUCAAUUUCAUUUAAAGCAGUAUCAACUACACUUGUCAUCCACUUAAGUACUUCUGAUCGCAUAAUAAAACCAUCAACAUCUAA